CUCAGUAACGUUGGAUACAUUUUCAGCUACAAUGUAAACUCUUUAGUUUAUAAACCUGAGCUAAACUGGUAAUAAGAGGAAGGACUGAGAGAAAAGGACUAAUCCAGAGACUCAGCACUCAGGAUUCCAGCACUACUGAGAGAGGAAGUGAAGUCGCUAGAUCAGCCAUUCCAGACGAGGGACUGUCAGAAGCAAUUAGUUAGGGAUUCUUAGAAGCAGAAGAAACACAACUUCACUCCCAUAGCUGAAACACUAGACUGAGGAAGGCAAAAUGGCAGCUGGGUAUAUGGACAAAGAUUUUAAACUGGUCACCCCUGAUCAUCUUGUGAAGGCUUCUCUUGGUAAAGAUGCCACUCUGCCCUGUCACCUCUCUCCUGAAACCAGUGCUGUUGCCAUGGAGAUCAGGUGGUUUAAGGGGACAGACUGUAUCUACCUGUAUAAGAAUGGUCAUGAGACAGAGGGGGAGGGCUAUGAGGGCAGAGUGAGUGUGGACACCCAUGAGCUGCAGAGAGGAGACGUGUCUCUGAGCCUGAGAGUGAUCAGAGGGAAAGAGAUAGGAGUGUUUCUGAAACUAUGGAAGACAGUGGGAAAUGAACAAGUGUACACAUGCCAGGUCAUCAGUGGAGAACACAAGGAGGAGGGAAGAGUC
Clupea harengus (Atlantic herring) is the source of this 649-nucleotide long non-coding RNA. RefSeq lists it as uncharacterized. Lineage: Eukaryota; Metazoa; Chordata; Actinopteri; Clupeiformes; Clupeidae. The transcript is spliced from 3 exons. The record is from RefSeq and is a predicted model, not a curated record.